This 1250-nucleotide long non-coding RNA is filed under the name Anthonomus grandis grandis. RNAcentral's name for it is "uncharacterized LOC126744514". Lineage: Eukaryota; Metazoa; Arthropoda; Insecta; Coleoptera; Curculionidae. The record is from RNAcentral.
UUGUUUAAUAUAAUCAACUUUUCCUAAUAGUAAUCUCUUAAGAUGGUAUAUAUAUUACGUGAAAGACCAGUAGAGUAAUUCUCUCAGACUUUCUCUUUUCCUAAUUUAGCAGAAAAGUCUAAGAGAAAGAAAGAGAAGAGAACUGCAAAUGUGUGCUAAAAUGCUAGCUGCCAAUCCAUUUUUAGAUCUUGAGAGUGCUCUAACAAAGCGAAAUUGCAUACAAGGUUUAGCAUCUCUAAAUGAAGACGUAAGAACAACAAAAAUGUCUAUAGAUCCAAUAGAAAGCUGUAAAGAAUGAUGAGAAUACUACUCAUAUCCUCGAUCGAGAGUAUAAGAAAUACCAAGAUUUUCAAUAGAAUGCAGAAAAACAAGGAGUUGAUGUUAACAAUGAAAGAGCACAAACUAAGGUAUAUUGGUUAUAUAAUGAGAGAGAAGAAUUUAAGGGAAAAGGUCAAUAGAGAGAACUCGUGGCUCGGUAAAACAUCAUCCGAAAUCUUCAGAGAAAUUGUUUCAUACGUAAUUAUUGCCAGUUGGAUCGCCAACCUUCGAAGAGAGAUGGCGCAAUGAGGCCGGAAUAAAUCUUAGCCUGUUCCUUGGUGUGCUUAGAUCAAAUGUAAAGGAAAGAAAAAAAUCUCUAAAAGAACAAAUAGUAUUUGCCUAAGGUGCUGCAUAACUGCUUGCAUUAUCCAAAAGUAAAGCCCAUACUAAAAGUCAUAUUUAAUUAGGAAGUAAGCCGAUCUACCAAUUGCCCCCCAAUCCGAAGCCCUUUAGUACCCACUCAAAACAACCUGUAGUUUAGGAACUGUAGAAGAACUUAAGAGGGGGUUAAAGAGACAACUUAUACACAUUCAAUUUUAAAUCAUAUAAUUAAACCAUUUCAAAAAAACUACAGUUCCUGAAUUGUGCGAAAAGCGUUUUCCUGGUGUUCUUUAGACUCUUAACACAUUACUCAAAAUAGUUAAAUGCCACUUGGAUUCGUCAGAAUCACUCCAUUAUUUUCUAUCUCGAUUAAUGUAUUCUUCUAAUGUUCAGGGCUCCUUCUUCUUCAAGUACCAUGUUCUCUUCGAACGUCGGCUAUCAUCAGCGCUAUUUGCACCUUAUCCACUGCUUUUCUGAAAAGCGCCAUUGUACUAACAUUAAACAAUUGCCUGAGAUUUUUGAGCCAUGAAGUACGCCUGCGACCUGGGCCUCUAUUUCCUUUGAUUUUGCCUUCUUAUAUAAGCUUUAAAAGUUUAUAUUUUUCGUUUCUC